GCGGAGAUGCCGGAGUGGUCAAACGGGCUUGGUUAAGGACCAAGUGGCUCAGUGCCUACGAGGGUUCGAAUCCUUCUCUCCGCA
RNAcentral lists this transfer RNA (84 nucleotides) under Candidatus Pacearchaeota archaeon. Its description in RNAcentral is "tRNA-Leu". It matches the Rfam family "tRNA". Rfam says of the family: Transfer RNA (tRNA) molecules are approximately 80 nucleotides in length. Their secondary structure includes four short double-helical elements and three loops (D, anti-codon, and T loops). The record is from RNAcentral. Lineage: Archaea; Nanobdellati.